GCAAAACUGAAGGGCAAAACUAUCCUGGAUUUGUCAUUCCUGACAGAGCUCUUGAAAGAAAAGUUUCCCUGCAUGUGUUAUUCUUGCAGCGGGACUGUCUGUCUGCGUGAGGUUUCCCCCUGAAGUAGUCCACAUACCUUCGCGAGAAAGCAGAGCAAAAAGGCAGCAACGACUGAGCCCCGUCUCAAAAUCAUGCCUCCGG
This is a long non-coding RNA of Thunnus maccoyii (southern bluefin tuna), 202 nucleotides long. RefSeq lists it as uncharacterized. The transcript has 3 exons. NCBI's taxonomy places the organism in Eukaryota, Metazoa, Chordata, Actinopteri, Scombriformes, Scombridae. The record is from RefSeq and is a predicted model, not a curated record.